This is a long non-coding RNA of Glossina fuscipes, 801 nucleotides long. RefSeq lists it as uncharacterized. Lineage: Eukaryota; Metazoa; Arthropoda; Insecta; Diptera; Glossinidae. The record is from RefSeq and is a predicted model, not a curated record. The transcript is spliced from 3 exons.
AACACAAGAAAAAAUUAAAAAUUAAACAUUUCCGCUUAUAUAUUUUAAACGUAUAUAAAAAAAAAAACUCUAGUCCAUUUUUGCGUUUAGUGCUUAAGAAUUUUAGAAGCAAUCAAUUAAGAAAAAAAAAAAAAAUUAUUAAAUAAAUAAAUAAAGUAAAAAAAAAAAAACAAUUAUUCGAAAUUAUUUGGCCAAAGGAGAAACGUAUGCAUUGAUUGAACUCUGAAAAAGGAAACAAAGGCUUUUUCUUGUCCAUCCAUUAUUAUAAAUAAAUAUAUGUAUACAUAUAUAUAUAUAUACAUACAUACAUAUAUACAGAAAUUCUAGCAAAUUAUAUGUUUUAAGGAUCCACUUAAAAAAUCGAAGAUAUAACAACAAAAAAAAAUAAAUAAAUAAAUAAAUAACCAAGAAAAAAACCGCAUCCAAGAAUACAUAGCAAGCAGUCAAAAAAUUCCAAUAAAACUAAUUAUUAUAUCGGCUGAGUGAAUAAACUUUUCAAGUUAAAAUUUGAAAACAAACACUUUAGUCUACCACGUAAUUUGCCGAAGAUCGUAUCGUAACGUUGAGAUCCAUAUAAAAUAAAUAAAUAUUCCAAAUUAUAUUCUGGUCGGCUUUCCUUACAAGAGAGACUAAAAAUACAAAGAAAAAAAGAGGGAGAAAAAACCGUUUUUCGUUUAGUACAUGUACAAAUUUUAAAGUAUUCGUAACAAAGACUGAUUUGGUUUGAAUUAUAUCUCGAAUGUAAUUGAAAGCGCAAAUCUUCUACGAUUAAAUAAGAAUUUUCCAAAAAAAAAGAAAAAA